UAACACGUAAACAACCUGCCUUCAGGAUGGGGACAACAGACGGAAACGACUGCUAAUACCGAAUAAGUUCCAAGGGCCGCAUGGCCCAUGGAAGAAAAGGUGGCCUCUACCUGUAAGCUAUCGCCUGAAGAGGGGUUUGCGUCUGAUUAGCUGGUUGGAGGGGUAACGGCCCACCAAGGCGACGAUCAGUAGCCGGUCUGAGAGGAUGAACGGCCGCACUGGAACUGAGACACGGUCCAG
This 240-nucleotide ribosomal RNA is filed under the name uncultured bacterium. RNAcentral's name for it is "partial 16S ribosomal RNA". It matches the Rfam family "Bacterial small subunit ribosomal RNA", at positions 111 to 334 of the family's 1533-position model. The record is from RNAcentral.